GAAGAAUCUAGGAUAUAUGCAUGUAAGAAUAUGAUGAAAAAUGUGUGUAUAUACAUAUUAUUAGUUAAGAAAACCCAAUAUUUUCUAAUAAUUCCAGUUAUUCUGCUGUUGAUUUGCUGUUUGGGAUUGUUGUCCUUUUGCCUGGUUCAGUCUGGCCCAAGCUUUAGCUGUCACACAGAGGGCAUCACAUUUGACUCUAGAAUACUUUGAUAUACAGAGUGCAGUGAUUGCAUGGUUCCUAUAGUAUAGUUUAGUUUAAUUUAGUGUCGCUUCAUUAAAGACACACACGGGUCCAUAACCAAACAUCUCCACUUAAUAUCAUUAAAGUGAGUUAUUUUCAUGUUUUGGUCCCUCCUAAAAAUUAAUUACAUAUGAUGAAUAAAGUCAAAGUUUCCAUGGAAACAUAAAUUGUAUUAUCAGAACAGCCAAACUGUAAUAUAAAACUAACAAAAACAAUAAUGAAUUGUGGUCAUUAAUAUGUUGAAAAAAUAAUUCUUUUGAGUUUGAUUCUUGUAGUUUCAAAUGCUAUUGUUUAUUUUGUUAUGUUACAUAUAUCUUGUAAGUUUGUGGCAUUGCUCAUCUACAAAGCUACAGAGUUUAGCCUGAAUAUACAAACUGUUAAUAAUUAUAUCAAUUUAAAAACUUCUCCCUACUUGUUUUUAUUUACUUUUUUUUUUUUUAAUUCAGAGGAGAAGUACUUUGCAAGUUGUCUGAAGGCAUUUUGAAGACGUUUUGAGCUUUUACAGCAGAACGCAUGCUGUUGUAUCCAGAAUGAUAUUUGCCUUUUUUUGAAAUAAACAACGCCUUCACGGAAAACUACUGGUUACCCCUGUUGCCUCACAGCAGGGAGGUCCUGGGUUUGAACCCUGGCACCCUUUCUGUGUGGACCUUACACUGACAAAAAAAAAUGCUAAGUUAAUGUUGACUGUCUGGGCCGAAGACACUCUUGCCGAAGAGAUUGUUGAUGUCAAGAGUUCCACUUUCUGAUUAAAUAAAGGUCGAUGCCUAAAAAAUGUGCACGUUAGCCAUGCUCUGUGCUUUAAUGCACCUCCCAUCAUGGAUGCUGGCUAUUGAACUGCACUGAUAACAAGUCAGAUGUCCUUCUCCUCUUUUGCACAGAGAAUUAAAUGUUGAUGAUAUAUAAAAAAGGGACUUUUAUAUUAUGAUUGGUCAGAUCUUAUUACAGUUUUCCUCUUCCUUUCUCUUUUAAAUUGUUGUUGCACUGUAUGAUUUUAGCCUUUAUCAAAAAAGAACUGUGCUAAUGUAACUACUUCUUCUAGAGAACCAUGUGUGUUUUCUAUACACUGCAGCCUGAAGACCCAGAAAUCAUAGACAUAGACUGUUUAUUUAUUUAAAAUCUUCUGCUCCAAUUUUCUUUUUUUAAAAAUUUGUUUUGCUGAUAUGAAAUGUAAAAAUUGCAUAAAAUUGUCAUUUUUUAAAAUAUCAUUUAUAUAUUUAUAUAGAGAGCUCAUGCUUAUUCGAAAAAGUCAUACUUUAUUUUAGUAUUCUGAAAGAUUUCUGUACCCAUUUUGAAUUUUUAAAAUGACCUCUGAGACUUCUGUACCUUUAGCAUAACUCUACAUUUAAUUAUUAUUCAAAUUGCAAUCCCGUAAUUCCCCCUGUAGAUUUUUCUUCCAGUAUUACGUUACAUCAAUUAUACAGAAAGUAAUAAAAGCUUGUAUGUGUCUCUUGUGGAAAUAAACAGA
Long non-coding RNA from Oreochromis niloticus (Nile tilapia), 1706 nucleotides. RefSeq lists it as uncharacterized. NCBI's taxonomy places the organism in Eukaryota, Metazoa, Chordata, Actinopteri, Cichliformes, Cichlidae. The record is from RefSeq and is a predicted model, not a curated record. The transcript is spliced from 2 exons.